Molecule: ribosomal RNA, 482 nt
Filed under: uncultured bacterium
Lineage: Bacteria
Description: partial 16S ribosomal RNA
Rfam family: Bacterial small subunit ribosomal RNA
Source: RNAcentral
GACGAACGCUGGCGGCGUGCUUAACACAUGCAAGUCGAACGAUGAAGAAGAGAAACGCGAACUUCGGUUCAAAUUUCACUUCGGAUUAGUGGCAGACGGGUGAGUAACGCGUGAGCAACCUACCCCUUACAAAGGGAUAGCCUCGGGAAACCGUGAUUAAUACCAUAUGACACAUUCAUAAGGCAUCUUAAGACUGUUAAAGCUACGGCGGUAAGAGAUGGGCUCGCGUCCCAUUAGCUAGUUGGUGAGGUAACGGCCCACCAAGGCGACGAUGGGUAACCGGCCUGAGAGGGUGAACGGUCACAUUGGAACUGAGACACGGUCCAAACUCCUACGGGAGGCAGCAGUGGGGAAUAUUGCACAAUGGAGGGAACUCUGAUGCAGCGACGCCGCGUGAGCGAUGAAGGAAUUCGUUUCGUAAAGCUCUGUUCUAUGGGAAGAAAAGGACUGUACCAUAGGAGAAAGCCCCGGCUAAAUACGUG